UCAGCCUGGCGUUGGUUGUCCAGGUGGAAGGAUGUAGGUAUGUAUCUUAGGCAAAUCCGGGGUACUCUAUACUGAGAUCCGAUAGCAAGCUGUACUUGUACAGUGAAGUGGCUGAUACCAUGCUUCCAGGAAAAGUCUCUAAGCUUCAGUUACACAGGAAUCGUACCCGAAACCGACACAGGUGGUCAGGUCGAGUAGACCAAGGCGCUUGAGAGAACUCUGCUGAAGGAACUAGGCAAAAUGGUACCGUAACUUCGGGAGAAGGUACGCUGUUGUUGGUGAUGGAACUUGCUUCCUGAGCUGACGACAGCCGCAGAAACCAGGCCGCUGCAACUGUUUAUUAAAAACAUAGCACUCUGCAAACACGAAAGUGGACGUAUAGGGUGUGAUGCCUGCCCGGUGCUGGAAGGUUAAUUGAUGGGGUUAGCGUAAGCGAAGCUCUUGAUCGAAGCCCCAGUAAACGGCGGCCGUAACUAUAACGGUCCUAAGGUAGCGAAAUUCCUUGUCGGGUAAGUUCCGACCUGCACGAAUGGCAUAAUGAUGGCGGCGCUGUCUCCAGCAGAGGCUCAGUGAAAUCGAAAUCGCUGUGAAGAUGCAGUGUACCCGCGGCUAGACGGAAAGACCCCGUGAACCUUUACUGCAGCUUGACACUGAACUUUGACCUUACUUGUGUAGGAUAGGUGGGAGGCUUUGAAGUUGGAACGCUAGUUCCAAUGGAGCCGUCCUUGAAAUACCACCCUGGUAAUGUUGAGGUUCUAACUCUGUCCCGUUAUCCGGGACGAGGACCGUGUCUGGUGGGUAGUUUGACUGGGGCGGUCUCCUCCUAAAGAGUAACGGAGGAGUACGAAGGUGCGCUCAGCGUGGUCGGAAAUCACGCGUAGAGUAUAAAGGCAAAAGCGCGCUUAACUGCGAGACCCACAAGUCGAGCAGGUACGAAAGUAGGUCUUAGUGAUCCGGUGGUUCUGUAUGGAAGGGCCAUCGCUCAACGGAUAAAAGGUACUCUGGGGAUAACAGGCUGAUACCGCCCAAGAGUUCAUAUCGACGGCGGUGUUUGGCACCUCGAUGUCGGCUCAUCUCAUCCUGGGGCUGAAGCAGGUCCCAAGGGUAUGGCUGUUCGCCAUUUAAAGAGGUACGCGAGCUGGGUUUAGAACGUCGUGAGACAGUUCGGUCCCUAUCUACCGUGGGCGCUGGAAAUUUGAGAGGAUCUGCUCCUAGUACGAGAGGACCAGAGUGGACGAACCUCUGGUGUACCGGUUGUGACGCCAGUCGCAUCGCCGGGUAGCUAUGUUCGGAAGGGAUAACCGCUGAAAGCAUCUAAGCGGGAAGCCUACCUCAAGAUAAGAUUUCCCUAGGAAUUUAUUCCUCUAAAGAGCCGUUCGAGACUAGGACGUUGAUAGGUUGGAUGUGGAAGCAUAGUGAUAUGUGAAGCUGACCAAUACUAAUUGCUCGUGAGGCUUGACUAUACAACACCCAAGCAGUUG
Molecule: ribosomal RNA, 1481 nt
Filed under: Acinetobacter pittii
Lineage: Bacteria; Pseudomonadati; Pseudomonadota; Gammaproteobacteria; Moraxellales; Moraxellaceae
Description: partial 23S ribosomal RNA
Rfam family: Bacterial large subunit ribosomal RNA
Source: RNAcentral